This 1824-nucleotide ribosomal RNA is filed under the name Triticum aestivum (bread wheat). RNAcentral's name for it is "partial small subunit ribosomal RNA". Lineage: Eukaryota; Viridiplantae; Streptophyta; Magnoliopsida; Poales; Poaceae. The record is from RNAcentral.
AUGGCGCACGUCCCCGCCUCCGUGGAGGACGCGCGGCUUAUUAUUGAUUCACUACGUGAAGAUCCCCUAUAUGGUCAACAACUGCCGCCGGUGUCUGAUAGUAUAAAUGAAAAUGCAUGCCAGCUCUGCAAACAGGAAAAACUCACUUUUGAACCCCCACCAAUGUAUUGCUUCCCUUGUGGUGCUCGGAUAAGGCGAAAUGGACCAUACUAUGCUUAUGAUACUCGUGAUACCCACCACUCUGUCUGCAUUCCAUGUUACAAUAAGUCCCGUGGUCACACCAUUGAGGUUGAAGGACAGAUGUUUCCGAAGGCCCGAUUUCAGAAAAAAAGAAAUGAUGAGGAAACUGAAGAAUGUUGGGUUAAUUGUGAAAGAUGUAAUUGCUGGCAGCAUCAGAUAUGUGCUCUGUUUAAUGACAUAAACUAUGAUGUAAAACAAGCAUAUACUUGCCUGUAUUGCUAUAUUGAGGAAGUGAAGCGUGGGCUGCACGUGCCUUCACCACAGAGUGCUGUUCUUGGGGCAAGUGAUCUGCCAAGAACUGCUCUUAGCGAUCAUAUUGAAGAGCGGCUUUUUAAACGGCUUAAGCUGGAGAGACAGGCUCGUGCAGUUCAGUCAGGACGUAGUUUUGAUGAGGUUGCUGGAGCAGAUGGUCUUGUGGUCAGAGUUGUUUCAUCAGUGGAUAAGAAGGUUGGAGUUAAACCACGUUUUUUGGAAACUUUUCAAGAAGAUAAUUACCCGACGGAAUUCCCUUACAAGUCCAAGGCUGUUCUUUUGUUCCAGAAAAUAGAUGGUGUAGAAGUCUGCUUAUUUGGAAUGUAUGUUCAAGAAUUUGGUGCUGAAUGCGCUUUCCCGAACCAACGUCGUGUUUACUUGUCAUACCUGGAUUCUGUGAAAUACUUAAGACCUGGGAUUAAAGCAGCCACUGGAGAGGCCUUGUGUACAUUCGUCUACCAUGAAAUUCUGAUAGGAUAUCUUGAAUACUGCAAGCAGCGUGGAUUCACAAGCUGUUAUAUAUGGGCUCGCCCACCUCUGGAAGGUGAUAAUAUUUUUUAUUGCAAUCCUACGAUUCAGACGACUCGAACAUCUGACAAACUCCGGGAGUGGUGCUUAGCCAUGAUUCGAAAAGCUACUAAGGAGGAGAUUGUUGUUGAGCUUACAAAUCUGUAUGACCAUUUCUUCAUUACUACGGGAGAGUGCAAGGCUAAAGUUACUGCUUCUCGUUUGCCUUACUUCGAUGGAGAUUACUGGCCAGGAGUUGCCGAAGAUAUGGUCAAUCAACUGCAUCAAGAAGAAGAUGACCAAAAGCUUCAGAAAAAGGGUAAUGCAAAGAAAAUUAUUAGAAAAAGAGCUCUUGAAGCUGCUGGCCACACUGAUCUAAGUGGGAACGCUUCCGAGGAUGAUAUGCUGAUGCAAAAGCUUGGGGAAACCAUUUAUCCAAUGAAGGAGGAUUUCAUUAUGGUCCAUUUGCAGUAUUCUUGUAGCAACUGUCGUAGCUUUAUGUCGUCUGGAAAACGUUGGGCUUGUCAUCAAUGCAGAAGUUUUUACAUCUGUGACAAGUGCUACAGCGCAGAACAAGAGCUUGAAGAGAGGGAGAGGCAUCCGAGCAAUAGUAGAGAAACUCAUGAGCUCCAUCCGGUUGACAUUGUGGGUGUGCCUGAAGAGACAAAGGACGGAGACGGUAUCAUAGAAAGCAAGUUUUUCGACACCAGGCACGCGUUUCUCAGUCUUUGUCAAGAGAACCAUUACCAAUUUGACACCCUUCGCCGUGCCAAGCAUUCGUCGAUGAUGGUGUUGUACCGCCUACAUAAUCCCACUGUAGUCUAA